RNAcentral lists this long non-coding RNA (1767 nucleotides) under Anser brachyrhynchus (Pink-footed goose). Its description in RNAcentral is "lncRNA (ENSABRG00000002989.1)". Lineage: Eukaryota; Metazoa; Chordata; Aves; Anseriformes; Anatidae. The record is from RNAcentral.
GACGCGCUGAAGAGCACCGUCUCGGAGCUGACACAGCGUUUAGCCCAGCUGCAGCACCACAGGGACGAGCAGGAGGCCAACGUGGUGCAGCUGCAAGAGAACAACAGGGAGCUCCAGGAGAGGCUGGAACAGCAAGAGCAUCAGCUGAAGGAGGCUCAGAGGAGCAGGAGCAAUCUCCAGUCGCAGAUCUGGAACGCGUUGUCAGAGAUCCAGUCCAUACGGAGCUGGCGUUCGAGUGGGACCAGCGUGACGUUCCCUGGCGUGGCCGUGCCCCUCGUCCUCCUGGCUCUGCUCUUCGCAGGGACGCUGCUGCUUUGAGCACGGAGCUGGGAGAGCAUGGACCUGGCUUGUCGCCGUCCCCUUCCGCCCCCGCGGGGCAAGGAGGGACGGUUCCCAUCCUGCUGGGAUGGGGCUGGUGCUGGCAGCUCACGCAGUGCCUGGGUCGGGAGCUCCCACCAUGAGGACGUCGCGUGGGGACAUCCUGGGGGGACAUUCUGCAAAAUGCUGGCCCCUGAGCUAUGGCCAGGGCGAGACGGGGAUGGGGCAAAGGCAGGGGACAGAGACCUGGCACUGCCCCGGGGCUGCCUUUAAGCAAGGGGUUCGCAGCUACUGCGCAGUUGGGUGGGUUUGAGCCAUUUUCCAAUAAAACUGCAUGAAAACCCAAAGCGUUUUGUUGCUCCAGCAUCAGGACAGCCUCCCCGGCACGGCUUGGGUUUGUCCCAGCCGAUUUUACCCACGGCCGGGGCCGAGCAUCCUCCCACGCGCUGCACAAACCAAGCCUGCUAUGGGCUGUGACCUGCAAGAAACCACAGCCCAAAGCGGCGCUGGGCGAGAAAACCCGCAGGCAGCACCCAGAGCAACCCGGGCACACCCCGGGCAGCCACGAGCGUCCCCGUCCCCCUCCCCGGCAUGGACCCCGCGGUGCCCAAAGCCACGCUGAAGGUGCUGGGGCUGUGCGUGGCGCUGCUGGUGCUGGUGGCGGCGGUGACAGUCUCGGUGGCCGUGCUGCUGUGGCGCUCGGAGGCUCUGGGGAUGCUGCGGGGCUGCCGGGAGCGGGCGGCCAACGAGAGCCGGGUGCUGGAGCUGCGCCUGGCCGAGCUGGAGCAGGAUCGUGCCCGGCUGCAGCGCGCCGCGGCCGAGAGCGCGCGGGCAGAGGAUGCUCGGCGCCGGGAGCUGGCCCAAGCACGCGAGGAGGGCGAGAAGCUCAAUUCCAGCUUGGCGUCCUGCCGGGAGCGGGCGGCCAGGCUGGAGGCCAACGCGACGGCGCUGCGGGACGAGGCGCUGGCGCUGCGGCGCGAGCGGGCUGAGCUGGCCCGCAGGAACGCGGCUCUGCAAGGUGCGUCCGUCUGUCCGUCCCCUGGGACCCCAGCCUGGGCUGGUGACUCAGCCACGCACGCCCUGGGGGCGACGCCCGGCCGGGUGGCUCAGGUUUUGGGGUGCCCCUUCGCCCCGCAGAGGAGCUGGCACAGGGCGCAGAGCAGGCGAAGGGGCUGCGGCAGCGGCUGGAGGAGGCGGAGGAGCAGCGGCGAGCGCUGCGGGCACGCGGGGAGAAGUGUGAGGCUCGGCAGAAAGAGCUCGAGAAAACCCUGUGAGGGUCCCGUCCCUUUGCUGUGUCCCCCUGUCCCCCUCUGGGUGCCCCCCAGGGACGCGGUGUCCCCUAACACGGCUCUGCUCUGCCCGCAGGAGGGACUACGCGGCCGAGGCGGAGGCGCUGAGACGGCGGCGGGUGGGGUCCCGUACGGCCAGGCGCAGGUGCCCCCCUUCCCG